This 807-nucleotide long non-coding RNA is filed under the name Mytilus galloprovincialis (Mediterranean mussel). Lineage: Eukaryota; Metazoa; Mollusca; Bivalvia; Mytilida; Mytilidae. The record is from RNAcentral.
GUGUUUUUUAUGUUAAGAUGAACAUAAUUAGAUGAUAAGUAAAAAAUCGCGGAAUUUCCCUUUAAAUUAACUAUAAGAUAACCUUUAAUUGAAUAAUGCAGAGGCUGGAUUUCAAUCCAGCUUUUUACCUUGUCAAAAAAUUAACUUGGAUUUAUACUGUCCCAUUUAUAUACUUAAUUUAAAAUUAAAUAAGUUCAUUUCUGACACUGUAGGAAGUAGGAUCAUGUAGAUGAGGGUUUGAAUCCAGCCUUGAGAAAAGGUCAGUAUCCUAUCAAAAGUAGGUCAAUGCAUUAUAUGUGUUCUUUUCGAUGUCUUUGGUUUAUUUUUAAAUCCAGGUUUAUAUUUUAGUUCUUGUGAAAAGAAUGACAUAUAAGAAUAGCAAAGGAUGCAUCCUUGAUUUAAAGUCAACAUUCAGAGAAAAGUCAAUGCAACCUACAUUUUUCACUUUAUUGACCUUAUUAACCUUUUGCUCCCUAGUUUAUGUUUAAGUCUCCAUUUAUUAUAUAAUCAUUGUGAUAAGUGUUGGAUGUUUGUCACUACGACUUAUAUUUACUGCUUCACUUAUUUUGGUUUUUAUAAAUUUCACCAAGGCUUAUACCUCUCUUUGCAUAAUUUGUUUGUAUUACCUUUUGCUUUUUUUGCUAUAAUGGUAUUGAAUAAUUCAUGUAUAUCAUGCAGAACCAAGCAGACAAUGUAAUUGUAAAUGUACACAUUUCUAUGCAUACUUAUAAUACCACUGUGUUGUUUUGACAUCAUAUAUAAUUACAUGUUUAACUUCCAAGUAAUACCCUACAAUAAUACUCAAAC